CACUAUGCCUAGCCCUAAACAUUGGUAGCGCCCCACGCCCGCUACCCGCCCGGAAACUACGAGCAUCAGCUUAAAACCCAAAGGACUUGGCGGUGCUUUAGAUCCACCUAGAGGAGCCUGUUCUAGAACCGAUACCCCCCGUUUAACCUCACCCCUCCUUGUUAUUUCCGUCUAUAUACCGCCGUCGUCAGCCUACCCUGUGAAGGCCCAAUAGUAAGCAAAAUUGGCACAGCCCAGAACGUCAGGUCGAGGUGUAGCAUAUGGAAGGGGAAGAAAUGGGCUACAUUCUCUAAUCUCAGAGAAUACGCACGACAUAAUGAAAAUACAUGUCACAAAGGAGGAUUUAGCAGUAAGCAUGAAAAUAGAGAGUUCUGCUGAAAUAGGCCCUUAAGCGCGCACACACCGCCCGUCACUCUCCCCAAGCCUACAAAACCCAAACAACCUAAACACUAUACCUGCAAAGGGGAGGCAAGUCGUAA
Molecule: ribosomal RNA, 479 nt
Filed under: Platax batavianus (humpback batfish)
Lineage: Eukaryota; Metazoa; Chordata; Actinopteri; Ephippiformes; Ephippidae
Description: partial small subunit ribosomal RNA
Rfam family: Bacterial small subunit ribosomal RNA
Source: RNAcentral